ACUGCAUCUGGAAUUUCCCACUGUCAGGAGUGCCCUUUGCUGAUUAAAAUGUCAAGUGCUGAGCAAUUCCUCAAAUCCACAGAAAUGUUAAUUUUAGGAGAAAGUUCCAUUUGUGAGGAACUCAGCCAGGAUGUUUGCUGUCAUCAGAGCACUACAGAGAAUCCAGGACCUCCUGGCACCAGUUCACAAGCAGCAGGGACUGGGGGCUGUCCAAGGGCUCUUCAGGAGGGUCUGUAAAGACUUGAGCUGAAUCUGUGAGUGAGCAAGGAGUGGGUGCUGUGAUGCCCUGGUGAGAGAUCACAUCCCAGAGGCACAGGUGGUCCUUACACUUGUUUGAGGUGGAAAUAUGCAAUUCAGUGAAUAACAAUGCUGUCUUCAGCAAGAAAGCAAAAGUCUUCACAGGGGGUUGGUGACACAUGGAUAUUGGAGACCAGGACAAGCUUCAGACAGACAGCUGGGAAAAUCAAAGUUUUAAGAGGAACUGUUUGGCUUUCAGUGGAUAAUAUAUCUAUGAAGCAUGGGAGACUUUCUGGACUCGUUGAAUUUUCAGAGGCAGCCCAGCAAGGUAUAAAAUCCUGCAUCGCUUGAGCUUCUCCUGCUACACUGGCUGGCUAUGUUGAAGAAAAAAGUUGAAAGAGCUGAAAACCAAGGAGGCACGACAUCAGACCUGAAAUUUUAGUCCUCAUCGAUCGAACAUAUAAAAUGGACCCAGCAGCCGAUGAACCGUGCCAGGGUUUAAUUCUUCAGCGCUGGAUGAUGCAGGAAUCCAGAGGCCUGAAUGCAAGCCUGAUUUGAACAGGCCAGUGCAUCUUUAGUUUCUGCGUAAGUCAAUUAGCACCCCGUAUCAAUUUGUGCUAAUUCCCAGUCUCUGCAACUUUUCCAGGCCUCUUAUGCAAAUCAGGCCUGGAAGCAAACAACAAGUGAGUGACCCAGAAGGCUGGUACGGGGCUGGGCACCAUUGUUCUCAGGCCAGGAAUUUCAGUGCCCCAUUUGUUCAUGGAGUAACUAAAAAAAAUGAGAAGCCACAAGGAUAACUACCUCUUCAGGCUUAAUUAUUGUACCCUUUGUACUGUUCUUCCCAGGGUAGAAAAAGAGGCAUUCUUGGUCCUCUCACUACAUUUAGAUUCACUGGAUUGUUUUUCACUGUUCCUGUAAAUAUAGCAGAAGAAAACUGAAACUAGAAUGACAAGAGGUUUUAAAGUCAACCCCUUUUUGUAGUCACAAAUUGUGCCAUGAAAUCAGAAAUACCCUGGUAACAUUAUUCUGGUGAUCUGGAAAAUGACUUAAAAAUGUAGCACAUUUAGGAGAUGAAUCAGGGUCCUUCAAAUGAAGAUUCAGUCAUGGAAAAUUUAGACCACACCUGUACUGAUCUGUUAAUUUAAAGGUAUUGGAGUAAAAAUGAGCUCAAGCUGCAAAACUCAAGUAGAUUUCCAACACUGUAGCUGUUCAAGGAUGCAUCCUGGAAUUUGGUGCA
This is a long non-coding RNA of Lepidothrix coronata (blue-crowned manakin), 1474 nucleotides long. RefSeq lists it as uncharacterized. Lineage: Eukaryota; Metazoa; Chordata; Aves; Passeriformes; Pipridae. The transcript has 6 exons. The record is from RefSeq and is a predicted model, not a curated record.